This 2956-nucleotide long non-coding RNA is filed under the name Homo sapiens (human). RNAcentral describes it as "HSALNT0059180". Lineage: Eukaryota; Metazoa; Chordata; Mammalia; Primates; Hominidae. The record is from RNAcentral.
GUUUAGAAGGAAUCAGUAUACUUUAAUCAAUAGCAGAGGCCAACACACUAUAGCCAAUGAGUCAAAUACAUAUUGCAACCUGCUUAUGUAAUCAAGUUUUAUUGAAACGUGCAAGCUCAUUAGUUUACAUGUUAGCUGUGGUUGCUGUCAUGCUACACCUUGGUGUUGAGUAGUUGUGAUGAAAAUUGUACGGCUCAAAAAGCUGAAAACAUUUAGUACUGGCUCUUUACAGAAACACUUUGCUGAUUCCUGCUCUGUAGGUCUUGACCCUCCCCUUCAAUUCAUUUUUAUCUCAUUUGAAAUGCAAAAUUAUAAGUGUCAUGCAUGCUUUGUAUAUCGUCUGUCUGUAGAAAGAAUGAAACUCCCUACCUGUUUUAAAUAAAAUAAAAUGGCAUCCUCCAAAUUCCAAACUCCAAACUCUUUUGGAAAGAUGUAGAUGACAAGCAGGUAUAAGAAGGAGAAUGGAGACUGCUUGGCUCAGGUUUCACAAAGUAGAAGUAAUUUGCAAAGAUUAUUACCUCAGGUCCGCAACUUCCUAUGUCCUUGGCUUUUUCACUGUACUCAAAGAUGAUCAAGCUGGAGAACUAGCUCAUAUCUAACUCAACUUCUUGCUAGCACGAUAAUCUACAAUAACACUGAGAAAAUUUUAACAUGUAAUUAGAAUUGAAGUGUAUUUCUAGUACUGCUCUAAGUACUUUACACAUAUUAAUUAAUUAAUUCUCAUGCAUACUGUUAUUAACUCUAAAGAUGUGGAAACUUCCAAUAAUUAGCCACUGAAUAUGAUAAAAAGAAAAACACGGAGACUAAGGCAUAGAAAACUUAGUGGAAGUCCCAGGCCAACCAAAAAUUUAUGUCAGCUUACCAUUGCAUUCUCACCACUGGUAGAAAAUUUACAUGGGGAUUCAGUUAUUUUGAUCAAGAAGUUGCCAGAUGACCAUGGAGCAAGAGGGAUGUAAUUAAGUAGAUUUUCUUUAUCAUGGAGUAGAUCAAGACAUAACAGGAUAAUCUACAAUCCAUUCCAUCAAUAGACAUAAAUGUGCCAACUGGAGAUCCAAGUUUGCCCAUCAAAGAACCCUCUAGUCUGGGUUAUGCUGAAGCUACACUGACAUCAUUUCCUUACCCCUUGGCUCCCUGUAUAAACCCAUGUGGUGAUUUUCCUCUUUCUUCAAACUGAGUAAAAUAAAAUGAUUGGGAUUCAAGUUGCAUUUUCUAGUCUUCUUGCUUCUGUAGGCUUUUGCUCAAGCCAUUUUACUUAAACCUGGGUAUUUCCAAAUCUGCUUAGCUUCAUGUUUUACAAAAUCUCUCUGGCACUUCAGCAGAUGACUAGUAUCUUCCUGUCUGUGUUUCUUCUUGCUUAUUUCACUCUCAGUGGAUAAACUACUUUCCAUAUUCUUUAGAAGCACUUGACAUUACCUCGACCUACCCACUAAACUUUUGUGAAGACCAAUGGUGUUAGAAUGAUUUUUAAAGGUAAUUUAUGUAACUUUUGAGUCCAUAAUAUUGCAUACCAGCAUAGCCAGAAUUGAAUUUUUUUUUAAUCUACUCCAGAAGAAAAAGCAAGAGUUACUUUAAAAGGUCAUAGUUACUCCGAAGUCUCAGUGCCAAAUUUUCAAGACAGAACAGAUCAAGGAUGCAGAAAGACCACUUGUUUCGCCAGUGUUGGUGGGCACCUGACAGAGAAGAUUUCCAUCUCCAUGUCUAUCAAAUCUCCCCGUCUUCAGCAGGUGUAGCUGACAAUGAAAACCAGGGGACUGUGCUAGCACCACAUGGCUACCCAUAUGGAUACAAGCAACAUUGUGUAAUCAUUUCUGCUUUUCUAUUUUACUUUUUUCCUAGGCAUGAAAUGGCAAUCCAGAAGGGGAAUAUGAGAAGUGAGCUUAGGAGUUCAGCCUUAAUAAUAGGGUCAAAUGACUUUAGAAUAAAAAUCAGCCAAUGAGAAAUUAAAUAUGGUACUUAUUACUAAGAAGCAUUUUAGGAAGACUUAAGUUAUGUGCUGUAACAAGCAGUAAAGUGACAUAUUCUCCCACCUCAACUGCUACCCACGGAUAUAGUGCCUUACUAUAUUGUGAAAAUGAUGUCUGGGGUAUCAUGAAAAAGGAUCUAGGUUCCAUGUUUAAGUCUAUGUGGGAUAGAGAAAAAAAAAGUCAAAGGAAGUAAAAUAAGCAUGAGACUGAGAGAGCAGGAAAUAAGAGUGAGAAUGGUCCAAACAUGAGAAUAUAAGGUCCGUGGAUUCACAGGAAUCUUGGAAAACAUCAGUGGAACUUUCCACACAUGAUAGGACGGGUUCUGAGCCAAUCUUAUUUAGAUUGCAAAUUCAAUACUGUGUUACAAAUAGAACAAUACUCCAUGAAAAUUAGGCAGUGGUUUACCAAGGUAAGCAGGAGGACUUUUAAUUUGGAUGUGGAAGAAAAUAAUCUUUUCUGAACUUACGUGGACAUCCCUGAUACUCUUCUGUAUGCCCCACCUUGUUCUUGACCCCUGUCUUUGUGUAUUGGGAUGGAUUGAUUCCACAUACGGGGGUUCUUUUUAAUGACAUAAAGAAAAUUCUUUACCAUUGUGUCUUCAUAUGCUCAAAGCUCACUUUUAGUAGAAAUGUUUUCUAUUGAUUUUUAUGGACACUUGCACCCUCCAAUAUUUUGCAAAAUAUUGAUUGCGUUACUUAAUAUUCCUAAGAAUGCCUAAUUUUUGUUAGCUUUUCCCUAAAGAUUGCUAGCAAUCUUUGUCUUGACUUUCUAUACUUCUACCUUGCUGCAAAAAACAAAAGCAAAACAACAAAAAAACCCUUCAUUUCUUAAUUAGAGCGCAAAACAUGUACAAAUCCUACCAUUGUCCCCUCUGAUCUACCCCCAUAGAAGUGUGAAUGCCAUGAUGCUUCCUGUGUUAAAUCUUUAAGUGCCGUUCCUCCAUCAAAGUUGCAACAGAAAUGGCCACUUCCUUUUACUCAGACUUUUUAAAA